AUUGAACGCUGGCGGCAGGCUUAACACAUGCAAGUCGAGCGGGGUGAUGGUGCUUGCACUAUCACUUAGCGGCGGACGGGUGAGUAAUGCUUAGGAAUCUGCCUAUUAGUGGGGGACAACAUCUCGAAAGGGAUGCUAAUACCGCAUACGUACUACGGGAGAAAGCAGGGGAUCACUUGUGACCUUGCGCUAAUAGCUGAGCCUAAGUCGGAUUAGCUAGGUGGUGGGGUAAAGGCCUACCAAGGCGACGAUCUGUAGCGGGUCUGAGAGGAUGAUCCGCCACACUGGGACUGAGACACGGCCCAGACUCCUACGGGAGGCAGCAGUGGGGAAUAUUGGACAAUGGGGGGAACCCUGAUCCAGCCAUGCCGCGUGUGUGAAGAAGGCCUUAUGGUUGUAAAGCACUUUAAGCGAGGAGGAGGCUCUUUUGGUUAAUACCCAAGAUGAGUGGACGUUACUCGCAGAAUAAGCACCGGCUAACUCUGUGCCAGCAGCCGCCGUAA
Molecule: ribosomal RNA, 503 nt
Filed under: uncultured bacterium
Lineage: Bacteria
Description: partial 16S ribosomal RNA
Rfam family: Bacterial small subunit ribosomal RNA
Source: RNAcentral